UGCCUUAGUAACGGCGAGUGAAGCGGCAAUAGCUCAAAUUUGAAAGCUGGCCCCUUCGGGGUCCGCGUUGUAAUUUGUAGAGGAUGAUUCGGCGAGGGCUCCCGUCUAAGUCCCUUGGAACAGGGCGUCAUAGAGGGUGAGAAUCCCGUAUGUGAUGGGCUGCCUUAGCCAUGUGAAUCUCCUUCGACGAGUCGAGUUGUUUGGGAAUGCAGCUCUAAAUGGGAGGUAAAUUUCUUCUAAAGCUAAAUACCGGCCAGAGACCGAUAGCGCACAAGUAGAGUGAUCGAAAGAUGAAAAGCACUUUGGAAAGAGAGUUAAAAAGUACGUGAAAUUGUUGAAAGGGAAGCGCUUGCAGCCAGACUUGUCCGCAGUUGCUCAGCCUGUCUCCUGACAGGCGUACUCUUCUGCGGCCAGGCCAGCAUCAGUUCGGGCGGUCGGAUAAAGACCCGGGGAAUGUAGCUCCUCUCGGGGAGUGUUAUAGCCCUGGGUGCAAUGCGGCCAGCCUGGACUGAGGAUCUCGCUUCGGCUAGGAUGCUGGCGUAAUGGCUGUAAGCGGCCCGUCUUGAAACACGGACCAAGGAGUCUAACAUCUAUGCGAGUGUUUGGGUGUCAAACCCAUGCGCGUAAUGAAAGUGAACGGAGGUGGGAACCCUCACGGGUGCACCAUCGACCGAUCCUGAUGUCUUCGGAUGGAUUUGAGUAAGAGCAUAGCUGUUGGGACCCGAAAGAUGGUGAACUAUGCCUGAAUAGGGUGAAGCCAGAGGAAACUCUGGUGGAGGCUCGCAGCGGUUCUGACGUGCAAAUCGAUCGUCAAAUUUGGGUAUAGGGGCGAAAGACUAAUCGAACCAUCUAG
This 853-nucleotide ribosomal RNA is filed under the name Neofusicoccum macroclavatum. RNAcentral describes it as "eukaryotic LSU rRNA". It matches the Rfam family "Eukaryotic large subunit ribosomal RNA", at positions 76 to 947 of the family's 3401-position model. Lineage: Eukaryota; Fungi; Ascomycota; Dothideomycetes; Botryosphaeriales; Botryosphaeriaceae. The record is from RNAcentral.